RNAcentral lists this ribosomal RNA (253 nucleotides) under Ruminococcus champanellensis 18P13 = JCM 17042. RNAcentral describes it as "partial 16S ribosomal RNA". It matches the Rfam family "Bacterial small subunit ribosomal RNA", at positions 524 to 776 of the family's 1533-position model. The record is from RNAcentral. Lineage: Bacteria; Bacillati; Bacillota; Clostridia; Eubacteriales; Oscillospiraceae.
UACGUAGGGAGCGAGCGUUGUCCGGAAUUACUGGGUGUAAAGGGAGUGUAGGCGGGAAUGCAAGUCAGAUGUGAAAACUAUGGGCUUAACCCAUAGACUGCAUUUGAAACUGUGUUUCUUGAGUAGUGCAGAGGUAGGCGGAAUUCCCGGUGUAGCGGUGGAAUGCGUAGAUAUCGGGAGGAACACCAGUGGCGAAGGCGGCUUACUAGCUCGAUACUGACGCUCAGUCACGAAAGCGUGGGUAGCAAAUAGG